UUCAUUGUUUCAGAAUUGCCCCGGGA
Molecule: non-coding RNA, 26 nt
Filed under: Homo sapiens (human)
Lineage: Eukaryota; Metazoa; Chordata; Mammalia; Primates; Hominidae
Source: RNAcentral